GGAGGGGGCAAGCGUUGCUCGGAAUUACUGGGCGUAAAGGGUCCGCAGGUGGUUUUGCAAGUUAGAUGUGAAAGCUCAGGGCUCAACCCGGAAACUGCAUCUAAUACUACAAAACUAGAGUCUAGGAGAGGUUGGCGGAAUUCUCGGUGUAGCGGUGAAAUGCGUAGAUAUCGGGAGGAACACCAGCGGCGAAGGCGGCUAACUGGCCUAGUACUGACACUCAUGGACGAAAGCGUGGGUAGCAAACCGGGAUUAGAUACCCGGGUAGUCCACGCCCUAAACGAUGGAUGCUAGGUGUAGGGAUUUAAAUCUCUAUGCCGUAGCUAACGCAUUAAGCAUCCCGCCUGGGGGAGUACGGUCGCAAGGCUG
RNAcentral lists this ribosomal RNA (369 nucleotides) under uncultured organism. Its description in RNAcentral is "partial 16S ribosomal RNA". It matches the Rfam family "Bacterial small subunit ribosomal RNA", at positions 527 to 896 of the family's 1533-position model. The record is from RNAcentral.